CCUACGGGUGGCAGCAGUGAGGAAUAUUGGUCAAUGGACGAGAGUCUGAACCAGCCAAGUAGCGUGAAGGAUGACUGCCCUAUGGGUUGUAAACUUCUUUUAUAUGGGAAUAAAGUGUUCCACGUGUGGGCGUUUGUAUGUACCAUAUGAAUAAGGAUCGGCUAACUCCGUGCCAGCAGCCGCGGUAAUACGGAGGAUCCGAGCGUUAUCCGGAUUUAUUGGGUUUAAAGGGGGCGUAGGUGGAUUGUUAAGUCAGUGGUGAAAGGUUGGGGCUCAACCGUAAACUGGCAGUUGAAACUGGCAGUCUUGAGUAGAGUAGAGGUGGGCGGAAUGCGUGGUGUAGCGGUGAAAUGCUUAGAUAUCACGAAGAACUCCGAUUGCGAAGGCAGUUCACUGGCCUGCAACUGACACUGAGGCUCGAAAGUGUGGGUAUCAAACAGGAUUAGAUACCCGGGUAGUC
RNAcentral lists this ribosomal RNA (460 nucleotides) under uncultured bacterium. RNAcentral describes it as "partial 16S ribosomal RNA". It matches the Rfam family "Bacterial small subunit ribosomal RNA", at positions 338 to 795 of the family's 1533-position model. The record is from RNAcentral.